ACAGUAUCGCGAUGGUAAUUCAACCUAGUACGAGAGGAACCGUUGAUUCGCACAAUUAGUAAUCGCGCUUGGUUGAAAAUCCAGUGGCGCGAAGCCACCGUGCGCUGGAUUAUGACUGAACGAUUCUAAGUCAGAAUCCGGGCCAGAAGCGAUGCAUGCGCAUGCCGCUUGAUUGCCGUCCUACAGUAGGGGCUUCGGCCCCCAAGGGCACGUGUCGUAGGCUAAGCCAGCGCGGCAGAUGCGCCGUGAGGGCCACCUUGUACAAUUCCUACUGAGCGGCGGGGUGAAUCCUUUUGCAGACGACUUAAAUACGCAACGGGGUGUUGUAAGUGGCAGAGUGGCCUUGCUGCCACGAUCCACUGCGAUUCAGCCCUAUGUCGCUUUGAUUC
This 389-nucleotide non-coding RNA is filed under the name Beta vulgaris subsp. vulgaris (sugar beet). RNAcentral describes it as "rRNA LSU_rRNA_eukarya". It matches the Rfam family "Eukaryotic large subunit ribosomal RNA", at positions 3005 to 3399 of the family's 3401-position model. The record is from Rfam by way of RNAcentral. Lineage: Eukaryota; Viridiplantae; Streptophyta; Magnoliopsida; Caryophyllales; Amaranthaceae.